CUAGAUGCCUUGGAGGAAGACGUCGAUCCCAUCAAAGGAGACAGCACCGGAGGCACACCUCUCGCCACGGUGACUCCAGCACCCAGCGAGAGUGAUGUGACUGAUGAUGGCGCUGUCUGGUCAUGGCUUUUUCAGAGUGUUACAGAGGAGGAGGGCUUGCCUCUUGCCAAGGUGACCCCAGCAAGCAGCGAAUGCGAUGCCUUGGAGGAAGACGUUGAUCCCAUCAAAGGAGACAGCAAAGGAUGCACACCUCUCGCCGUGGUGA
Molecule: long non-coding RNA, 265 nt
Organism: Ailuropoda melanoleuca (giant panda)
Lineage: Eukaryota; Metazoa; Chordata; Mammalia; Carnivora; Ursidae
Exons: 5
Source: RefSeq, a predicted model, not a curated record